AAGCGGGAUGAGCUCAAGCUUAAAAUCUCCGUACAAGUUUUGUACGGCGAAUUGUAGUCUAUAGAGGCGUGGUCAGCGCGGGCGCUUGGGGCAAGUUCCUUGGAAGAGGACAGCAUGGAGGGUGAUACUCCCGUUCAUCCCUGAGUGGCUCGUGCGUACGACCCGUUUUCUUUGAGUCGCGUUGUUUGAGAAUGCAGCGCAAAGUAGGUGGUAAAUUCCAUCUAAAGCUAAAUAUUGGUGCGAGACCGAUAGCGAACAAGUACCGUGAGGGAAAGAUGAAAAGAACUUUGAAAAGAGAGUUAAAGAGUACCUGAAACUGCUGAAAGGGAACCGAAUCGUUUCCAGUGUCUAUAAUCCGUGGUAUAUUUCAUUGGCGAGUGUAUGCGUGCGUGUACUGUGGCAGCGGCUUUUUGCUGCGCUCGGUGCUUGUGCUGUGUAUACUUGCUGGUGCCCUGUGCUGCGGUGGGACGUCAACGUCAGUUCGUAUGCUGCGGGAAAUGGCUGCUGAGGAGGUAGGGCUUACGCUUGCGUUUGUCUGUUAUAUCUUGGUAGACGAGUCGUCGCGGUUGGGACUGAGGUGCCUACAACGUGCUUUUGAGUGGGUCUGCGUUUCCGUGUGUGCCGUGUGCGGAUAGCUUGCUAUGCGUGUGUGGUUAUGUAUGGAUUGAUGCGGGCCUUAACUUGUUGCCGUUC
RNAcentral lists this ribosomal RNA (693 nucleotides) under Peronospora trifolii-alpestris. Its description in RNAcentral is "LSU rRNA". It matches the Rfam family "Eukaryotic large subunit ribosomal RNA", at positions 96 to 628 of the family's 3401-position model. The record is from RNAcentral. Lineage: Eukaryota; Oomycota; Peronosporomycetes; Peronosporales; Peronosporaceae.